This 378-nucleotide unclassified non-coding RNA is filed under the name Hevea brasiliensis (rubber tree). The record is from RNAcentral. Lineage: Eukaryota; Viridiplantae; Streptophyta; Magnoliopsida; Malpighiales; Euphorbiaceae.
GGAGCCGACGAAGCCGGCGGCGCCAGUGACAAGGACGGAGAUGCCAUGAGGGCGCUUUGGUGUGGCGGAGGAGCGGACAAGGCGCUCCCAGUCAGCACCAGAGUUGGUGGCUUCGCCGCCGAGGAGGAAGCGGUGGUUGGUGGUGUGGGCGAUGGAGGUAAGGGGAGGGUAGUUGAGGGUGAAGAGAAGGAUGAGGACGAAGGCGGCGAGGAGGGUGGCGCGGAAGAGGAUUUUUGAGGUGGCGGUGAGGAGGCGAGCGGAGUUCACGCGGCGGAGGUAGCUAUUGUACCUCUCCAGCUUUGUCGUCUUGCUGGUGUCCGGCGGGAAGGCCAUGGCGUCGGAGGAGGCAGCGUUGAAAGAGGAGGAGGCGGCGGCGGG